Long non-coding RNA from Notolabrus celidotus (New Zealand spotty), 270 nucleotides. RefSeq lists it as uncharacterized. The record is from RefSeq and is a predicted model, not a curated record. NCBI's taxonomy places the organism in Eukaryota, Metazoa, Chordata, Actinopteri, Labriformes, Labridae. The transcript has 2 exons.
UAAUGUAACCACGGUCAACUGCACUUUACUGCAGCUGGAUGGUUUAAUGAACUCUGCGUUGUGUAUUCAAAGGAUAAAGGAGGCUUGAAAGAGUAUCCAGACCAACACUUUAUAUCUGAACAGAGAAGGACAUAACAAAUGCUGGGAUUUGACGAACUGAAGGAGGAGCUGUUCAUGCAUGCAGACUUGAAGGACAACCUUAGUUGAACUUGAUGUUUUCUUACUGACACACCUGUUUGAAUAAAACAUGUUCUUUAAACUGGUUUUGAA